This 467-nucleotide ribosomal RNA is filed under the name uncultured bacterium. RNAcentral describes it as "partial 16S ribosomal RNA". It matches the Rfam family "Bacterial small subunit ribosomal RNA", at positions 28 to 507 of the family's 1533-position model. The record is from RNAcentral.
GACGAACGCUGGCGGCGUGCUUAACACAUGCAAGUCGAACGGAAAGGCCUCUUUCGGGGGGUACUCGAGUGGCGAACGGGUGAGUAACACGUGAGUAACCUGCCCUUGACUUUGGGAUAACUUCAGGAAACUGGGGCUAAUACCGGAUAGGAGCUCCUGCUGCCGGGUGGGGGUUGGAAAGUUUCGGCGGUUGGGGAUGGGCUCGCGGCUUAUCAGCUUGUUGGUGGGGGAGUGGCUUACCAAGGCUUUGGCGGGUAGCCGGCCUGAGAGGGUGACCGGCCACAUUGGGACUGAGAUACGGCCCAGACUCCUACGGGAGGCAGCAGUGGGGAAUAUUGCACAAUGGGUGGAAGCCUGAUGCAGCAACGCCGUGUGCGGGAUGACGGCCUUCGGGUUGUAAACCGCUUUCGCUCAUGACGAAGCUUUGUGUGACGGUAGUGGGUAAAGAAGCACCGGCUAACUACGUG